Molecule: ribosomal RNA, 468 nt
Filed under: uncultured bacterium
Lineage: Bacteria
Description: partial 16S ribosomal RNA
Rfam family: Bacterial small subunit ribosomal RNA
Source: RNAcentral
GACGAACGCUGGCGGCGUGCUUAACACAUGCAAGUCGAACGGAAAGGCCCUGCUUUUGUGGGGUGCUCGAGUGGCGAACGGGUGAGUAACACGUGAGUAACCUGCCCUUGACUUUGGGAUAACUUCAGGAAACUGGGGCUAAUACCGGAUAGGAGCUCCUGCUGCAUGGGGGGGGUUGGAAAGUUUCGGCGGUUGGGGCUGGACUCGCGGCUUAUCAGCUUGUUGGUGGGGUAGUGGCUUACCAAGGCUUUGACGGGUAGCCGGCCUGAGAGGGUGACCGGGCACAUUGGGACUGAGAUACGGCCCAGACUGCUACGGGAGGCAGCAGUGGGGAACAUUGCACAAUGGGCGGACGCCUGAUGCAGAAACGCCGCGUGCGGGAUGACGGCCUUCGGGUUGUAAACCGCUUUCGCCUGUGACGAAGAGUGAGUGACGGUAAUGGGUAAAGAAGCACCGGCUAACUACGUG